AUUGUCAGACCUCGCUCCAGCUGAUGGAGGGCACACAAGUCUUUCGCCUUUUACUAAAGACUUCCGUGCAGGGGAACAGUAAGCAAUUGAAUCUAUUUUUGGCAGGCUACGCCACUGGUGAAGCCU
The sequence is a small nuclear RNA, 126 nucleotides long. Its record names the gene U5. It matches the Rfam family "U5 spliceosomal RNA". Rfam says of the family: U5 RNA is a component of both types of known spliceosome. The precise function of this molecule is unknown, though it is known that the 5' loop is required for splice site selection and p220 binding, and that both the 3' stem-loop and the Sm site are important for Sm protein binding and cap methylation. The record is from Ensembl.